UACAGAGGUGGCAAGCGUUGUUCGGAAUUACUGGGCGUAAAGGGCGCGUAGGCGGCCAUCUAAGUCAGACGUGAAAUCCCCCGGCUUAACCUGGGAACUGCGUCUGAUACUGGACGGCUUGAGUAUGGGAGAGGGAUGUAGAAUUCCAGGUGUAGCGGUGAAAUGCGUAGAUAUCUGGAGGAAUACCGGUGGCGAAGGCGGCAUCCUGGACCAUUACUGACGCUGAGGCGCGAAAGCGAGGGGAGCAAACGGG
RNAcentral lists this ribosomal RNA (253 nucleotides) under uncultured bacterium. Its description in RNAcentral is "partial 16S ribosomal RNA". It matches the Rfam family "Bacterial small subunit ribosomal RNA", at positions 524 to 776 of the family's 1533-position model. The record is from RNAcentral.